This 470-nucleotide ribosomal RNA is filed under the name uncultured bacterium. Its description in RNAcentral is "SSU rRNA". It matches the Rfam family "Bacterial small subunit ribosomal RNA", at positions 26 to 518 of the family's 1533-position model. The record is from RNAcentral.
AGGACGAACGCUGGCGGCGUGCUUAACACAUGCAAGUCGAGCGGUAAGGCCCUUUCGGGGGUACACGAGCGGCGAACGGGUGAGUAACACGUGGGUGACCUGCCCUUAGCUCUGGGAUAAGCCUGGGAAACUGGGUCUAAUACCGGAUAUGACCUCGCGAUGCAUGUCGUGGGGUGGAAAGCCUUGUGCGGCUAGGGAUGGGCCCGCGGCCUAUCAGCUUGUUGGUGGGGUGAUGGCCUACCAAGGCGACGACGGGUAGCUGGUCUGAGAGGACGAUCAGCCACACUGGGACUGAGACACGGCCCAGACUCCUACGGGAGGCAGCAGUGGGGAAUCUUGCGCAAUGGGCGAAAGCCUGACGCAGCAACGCCGCGUGGGGAUGAAUGCCUUCGGGUUGUAAACCCUUUCAGUGGGAACGAAUUGACGGUACCCACAGAAGAACGCCCGGCCAACUACGUGCCAGCAGCCGC